RNAcentral lists this long non-coding RNA (226 nucleotides) under Solanum tuberosum (potato). Its description in RNAcentral is "long non-coding RNA (STUB_LNC000030)". Lineage: Eukaryota; Viridiplantae; Streptophyta; Magnoliopsida; Solanales; Solanaceae. The record is from RNAcentral.
AUAUUUCCAAAAGAGUUUUCAUAGUGCCAAUGACAUUUUGAUAGUCUGGGAAAAUAUGUGGAAAAACUAUUUUCAAAUACUUGAAAAAUAUUUUUGAGAUCACAUUUAAAAUGUGGGGGUUCUUUGCUUAUGAUAAAGAUAAAAUUAGACUUGGUGUCUAAUUUAAUUUUGGAGCAAAAGAUAUGAAAUUCAAUGAUACUUUUGUAUUAUGUUAGACCCACAAAAU